This 1743-nucleotide long non-coding RNA is filed under the name Macaca fascicularis (crab-eating macaque). RNAcentral describes it as "lncRNA (ENSMFAG00000051453.1)". Lineage: Eukaryota; Metazoa; Chordata; Mammalia; Primates; Cercopithecidae. The record is from RNAcentral.
ACUUGAGCCACACAACUGCAGCAGCUGUGGAGCACUGUGCUGGAAUGCGGGGAAAAGAUACUUGAGGCAGUGCCAGGUAGCAAAUAUGGAGGUCCUAUGGCCACCUCUCUGGAAACCUUGCCUUCAAGGUCCUGCUCUAGACCUGCGUUGGAAGGGGCAACCUGAAAACAUCUCUGAAAUGCCAUUGGAGUCUUUCUUGUCUUGAUGAAUAGCACCUGGCUCCCUUCUAGCCACGGUAAUCUCUUUAGCAAGGGGUUCACUGGACCACAUCCCUACAAGGACUUACAUCCUUAUGAGACUCUCCCAGACAUCCUUUUGCACUCUUGGCCAGGCUGAACAUUUUCACAAUUUUUACUUUCUGCUUCCUUUUUAAUUAUAAAUUUCAUCUUUUAAUCAUUUAUCUCUUCUCUAAUUUUACUGUAAGCAGCCAAAAUAAUCCAUGCAACACCUUGAAUGCUUUACUGCUUAGAGAUUUCUUCUGCUAGCUAUCCUAGGUCAUUGCUCUUAAAUGCUGCCUUCUUUUCUCUAGCUUACCUUUUUGUAAGAAUACAGUAUAAAAUACAUAUAACAUGCAAAAUAUGUGUUAAUCAACUGUUUAUGUUAUCAGUAAGGCUACCAGUCAACAGUAGGCUACCAGUAGUUAAGUUUUGGGGGAAUCAAAUGCAGAUUUCCAACUGUGCAGAGAUGGGGGUGUACCUAACCCUUAGAUUGUUCAAGGGUAAACUGCAUGAAAUAAAUUGAACAGACUAAAAAGUAUUUACUGUAAAUAUCUUGCUGUGUUUGCUUUCCAGCAUCCCUUAUUUCCUUUUUCAGGUACCAACAUCAUCAUUUUUUUGGAGAACUAUUUCUCCCUGACUUUUCAAUCCUAAGUAUCUGUCAUAAGCUGAACAGUUGUCCCCCACCAAAGAUAUAUCCAUGCUCUAAUCCCCAGAACCUUUAAAUAUGAUCUUAUAUGGCAAAGUAUGUAAUUAAGUUAAGGAUCAUGAGAGGGGGCGCUUAUCCUGGAUUAUCUGGGUAGGCUAUGAAUAAACUGUAAGUGUCCUUAUAAUCGAAAGGAAAUGGGAGUUUUGAGACAGAAAAUAGGAGGCAAUGUGACUACAGAGGGCAGAGACUGGAGUAUGGGGCCACAAGCCAAGGAUGUCUUUGGCCACAGGAAGCUGGAACAGUUUCCCUGCUAUAGCCUUUGGAGGAACACAGCCCCACCUCCAGAACUAUGAGGGAAUAAAAUUUCAAUUGUUUUAUGCCAUCCAGGUUGGGUAAUUCGUUAUAGCAGGCAUAAGAAACUGAUACAACGUCCGAUUCUAUAGGCUCUAGUCAUUGGUUCAGGGAGAGGCACAUGACCCAAUUAGUCCAGUUAAGACUCCAUUAUAGGACAAUCCCUGAGACUACUGAGACAGAAAAGUUCUCUUUUCCCACGAAGGCAGCCCAUAUUGGGAGAAUAUAGGCCUCAAGCUGUUUAUGGCCAUCAUGUAGAGACCUGGGCCUUAUAUGUGGAGAAAGAUAGAGACAAAUACCUAGUGUCGAGGAUGUCAUUUGAACUUCUGGAUCAAGCAGUAUCUGAAGCUAGAUCUAUCCCUGACUUAGCAGUUUUUUUUUUUUGUUGUUGUUUUUUUUUUGAGACGGAGUCUCGCUCUGUCACCCAGGCUGGAGUGCAGUGGCCGGAUCUCAGCUCACUGCAAGCUCCGCCUCCUGGGUUUAUGCCAUUCUCCUGCCUCAGCCUCCCGAGUAGCUGGGACUACAGGC